CAGGAACUCCAGUGUUUUAAUGCUGACACGUGACAUCUCACAAUCAACCUUAUCUUACUUUAAGCUUCUGAAAUCCCUCUUAUCAAAUUGAUCAAAGCUUCUUUGGAGGAGGAUUUUAUUGAGUAUAAAUGUGUUUAAAAACCCAAAACAAACCAGUUGUUCUUUUUACAGUAAAGUCUGGGACUGGAGAAAAGGCUGAGUAUUAUGAUGAUGUCAUCGACACCAGUGACUUCAUAAGUGGGUGCAGUUGUUAACUGAUGACAUAAAUUUACUGACUUCACAUUAAACCAUGAGGUCAGAAUGUGACGGAGCUGUUUGUACAGAGCCUCUGCUUUUAUUUCAUUUAGGUGAUACAGGAAGAGUUGACCCACCAGAGGACUACGAUGAUGCCGUCACUGCUGGACCGAUCCCUGAUAACGUGGAUGAGGAUGAAGCUGAGAAUUAUGAUGACGCCGUUACAGCUGAUCAGAAGUCAGUUAUACUGACAGAGGACGUGUCCGAGAACUACGACGAUGCAGUUCCCACUGAAACGAACACAAACAUCAUCACAGGUCAGUUUCUUUCUGGAAACAGACAAAAAAAGAAAA
Molecule: long non-coding RNA, 587 nt
Organism: Ictalurus punctatus (channel catfish)
Lineage: Eukaryota; Metazoa; Chordata; Actinopteri; Siluriformes; Ictaluridae
Source: Ensembl